CAUAGCAACAGUUCAAAACAAAGCCGCCAUACGGAUAUUUCACUGACUGACAUGAUUUCAGCUCGAUAUCUGCACAUGAUUAUAUUAUUAAUUAUAUGAUUAUAUGAUUAUAACAUUCAGCCGUUUCUCGUUUUGAUCGCGCGCUUCAUUUAACCGAAUGUCUGCCUCGGAUUUUCUACGGGAAGCGGAAGGUCUCAGAAGACUGCUGUGUAAAGAGGAGCGAGAGAGCAGAAGAACCGACCUGAGACACACUUUCAGCGACUGUACCGAGCUCAACAAUCAGCUCCGCGCGGACAUGAUGAAGGUUCAGCAGCAGCUGCAGAAACUCAAGAACGCCGUCUUCAGGUUCCAGCAGCAGCUCAUGGACGCCAAACCGUCUGCGGAUGUGAUUGACAGAUUAAAAGACACCAUGAUGGACAUCGAAAACUCCAUCAGCAUGUUCAAAGACACGCAGCAUCAGAGUUUUGAGGAGCUGCUGAAAGACGAGAGGAUCUUCUGGCAGGAGAUCUGUGCCUUCGAGAAGAAGAUUGAGGCUUGGAGUUUGCCUGUGAAAGCAGACGUCCGUCUUCCCAGCGCUCGCUCGGACCGGCUGCGCGACGACAGGAGGAAUCUUCCGGCGGAGGUGACGGAGCUCGAGACCUUCCUCCAGCGGACGGGAGGCCGGCGGGGCGGCUGGGACGAGUACGACCACCAGAGCUUCCUGAAAGUGUGGACGAAGCACAGCGGGAAGCCCUCGUACAGACAAGAAGUGAGGCUUUAUUUACCUGGAAAGACUGAGGAAGAGCUGAAGCUGCACGAGGAGUGGUUUCUGGAGCUGCGGCGCCGGCAGGAGAAGAAGAGGGAGGCCGUCCGCAGAUGGAGAGAAGCCAAGCAGAGAGAGCGAGAGCUGCAGAGAGAGCAGCAGGACGCAGGCGACACGAGGACGGAGCCGCAGGACGAGGAGCAGCGGCGGCUGAAGCAGGAGGAGCGGCGGAGGGAGGCGGCCGAGCGGCUGGAGGCCUGGAGGAGCCGGAGAGAACAAGAGCGAGAACAAGAGCAAGAGCAGCGGCUGAGGAACGAGAUCCUGCAGAGAAGAAGAGCCAAAGAAGAGCAACGCCGACAGCUGGAGGUCAAGCUGAUGGUGGAGGCUCACGCCCGGCAGAAGAAGGAGGAGGAGGAGCUGCGUCUGCUGGAGGAGGAGGCGCAGCAGCGGGCGGAGAGAGAGGAGCGACAGCGGCAGGCAGCCGAGGCCAUCAAACGCUUUCAGGAGAGAGAUUCACUUCGUCUGGAGGAAAAACUGCAGGAGAAACAGAGUAAAGAGGAGGAGCGCUGGGAGCGGCAGAGGACGCUGGAGAAACUCAAGGAGAAGGUUCAUGUCAGCCGCGAUCCCUCCAGACUGUGGAAGCGCACUAAAGUCUGGGAGGAGCGCAUGAGAGAGAUCGGCCCGUCUGGAUCUGGAGCCGCACCGCUGCUGCACGUCUUCCACAGGGCUGUUCCAGCAUGGAGACAAGACUUGUGAAAGUUCUGCUCAUUCUACAUCACUUACUGCAAAUCAAAACUCAAUCAACUCAAAUGUUGCAUUUUUAGCGGAAGCGGAAGCGGCUCUGACAGUGGUGUGUCGCUGUUGCUGUUGUGUUGAUGAUGAUGAUGGCGGAUUUUGACCAGGUAGAUUUUCUGCGGGAGCGGCACGUGCGGUUCUUCCAGCGCUGUCUGCACGUGCUGCCCG
Molecule: RNA transcript, 1705 nt
Organism: Megalobrama amblycephala (Wuchang bream)
Lineage: Eukaryota; Metazoa; Chordata; Actinopteri; Cypriniformes; Xenocyprididae
Gene name: coiled-coil domain-containing protein 112
Exons: 10
Source: RefSeq, a predicted model, not a curated record